This 484-nucleotide ribosomal RNA is filed under the name uncultured bacterium. RNAcentral's name for it is "partial 16S ribosomal RNA". It matches the Rfam family "Bacterial small subunit ribosomal RNA", at positions 30 to 507 of the family's 1533-position model. The record is from RNAcentral.
AUUGAACGCUGGCGGUAGGCCUAACACAUGCAAGUCGAGCGGAUGAAGGGAGCUUGCUCCUGGAAUCAGCGGCGGACGGGUGAGUAAUGCCUAGGAAUCUGCCUGGUAGUGGGGGAUAACGUCCGGAAACGGGCGCUAAUACCGCAUACGUCCUGAGGGAGAAAGUGGGGGAUCUUCGGACCUCACGCUAUCAGAUGAGCCUAGGUCGGAUUAGCUAGUUGGUGGGGUAAAGGCCUACCAAGGCGACGAUCCGUAACUGGUCUGAGAGGAUGAUCAGUCACACUGGAACUGAGACACGGUCCAGACUCCUACGGGAGGCAGCAGUGGGGAAUAUUGGACUAUGGGCGAAAGCCUGAUCCAGCCAUGCCGCGUGUGUGAAGAAGGUCUUCGGAUUGUAAAGCACUUUCAGUUGGGAGGAAGGGCAGUAAGUUAAUACCUUGCUGUUUUGACGUUACCAACAGAAUAAGCACCGGCUAACUUCGUG